GCAGCAGCCACGGGAAUACAGAGGGUGCGAGCGUUAAUCGGAUUUACUGGGCGUAAAGCGUGCGUAGGCGGCUUUUUAAGUCGGAUGUGAAAUCCCUAAGCUUAACUUAGGAAUUGCAUUCGAUACUGGGAAGCUAGAGUAUGGGAGAGGAUGGUAGAAUUCCAGGUGUAGCGGUGAAAUGCGUAGAGAUCUGGAGGAAUACCGAUGGCGAAGGCAGCCAUCUGGCCUAAUACUGACGCUGAGGUACGAAAGCAUGGGGAGCAAACAGGAUUAGAGACCCCAGUAGUCCCUGUCUCUUAUAA
Molecule: ribosomal RNA, 302 nt
Filed under: uncultured bacterium
Lineage: Bacteria
Description: partial 16S ribosomal RNA
Rfam family: Bacterial small subunit ribosomal RNA
Source: RNAcentral